This 463-nucleotide ribosomal RNA is filed under the name Vreelandella stevensii. RNAcentral's name for it is "partial 16S ribosomal RNA". It matches the Rfam family "Bacterial small subunit ribosomal RNA", at positions 339 to 795 of the family's 1533-position model. The record is from RNAcentral. Lineage: Bacteria; Pseudomonadati; Pseudomonadota; Gammaproteobacteria; Oceanospirillales; Halomonadaceae.
CUACGGAGGCAGCAGUGGGGAAUAUUGGACAAUGGGCGAAAGCCUGAUCCAGCCAUGCCGCGUGUGUGAAGAAGGCCUUCGGGUUGUAAAGCACUUUCAGUGGGGAAGAAAGCCUUGGGGCUAAUACCCUCGAGGAAGGACAUCACCCACAGAAGAAGCACCGGCUAACUCCGUGCCAGCAGCCGCGGUAAUACGGAGGGUGCGAGCGUUAAUCGGAAUUACUGGGCGUAAAGCGCGCGUAGGCGGUCUGAUAAGCCGGUUGUGAAAGCCCCGGGCUCAACCUGGGAACGGCAUCCGGAACUGUCAGGCUAGAGUGCAGGAGAGGAAGGUAGAAUUCCCGGUGUAGCAGUGAAAUGCGUAGAGAUCGGGAGGAAUACCAGUGGCGAAGGCGGCCUUCUGGACUGACACUGACGCUGAGGUGCGAAAGCGUGGGUAGCAAACAGGAUUAGAUACCCCAGUAGUC